This 414-nucleotide ribosomal RNA is filed under the name Triticum aestivum (bread wheat). Its description in RNAcentral is "partial small subunit ribosomal RNA". The record is from RNAcentral. Lineage: Eukaryota; Viridiplantae; Streptophyta; Magnoliopsida; Poales; Poaceae.
AUGGCAGGAUCACAAGCCGAUGAGACUAACUGGGAGAACAUGACAAAUAAGGAGUUGCAUGAUAAAUUUCAGCAAAUGAUGAGUGGACAGGUGCAAGAUGUGCUAAACAGAUUUGAAGAGGCCAUGGAGAAGAUAGAUGGCAUGGAGAAGAUGUUGGAAACAAAGCUCGAUAACAAGUUUAAUGAAUUGCUCGCGCGUCUUCCACCACCACCACCGGCUGCCCAUAACGCACCGCUACAACAACAACAACAACAAUUCCAAAUCAAGUGGGACGAGCACAGCGCGUUCCCAUUGACCCUGGGCGAAAUACUGGUGCCGCUGUUGAUGCUUCUGCCGCUCCUGCUGCUACUGCAGAGGUGGAGGACCAUUACGAGGAUGAGGUUGACCAAAAUCGGAACUACGUUCAACCACUAG